CACAUGCAAGUCGAGCGGUGCAGCUGGAGGCUUCGGCCGAAGGCUGCAUCGCGGCGGACGGGUGCGUNACACGUAGGCACGUGCCCCCUGGAGGCGGAUNGCCGCGGGAAACUGCGGGUAAACCGCCAUAGNCUCGGGNGNGUAAAGGCCGGAAGGCGCCAGGGGAGCGGCCUGCGUCCCAUCAGGUAGUUGGUAGGGUAACGGCCUACCAAGCCGACGACGGGUAGCCGAUCUGAGNGGAUGGUCGGCCACAAGGGCACUGAGACACGGGCCCUACUCCUACGGGAGGCAGCAGUGGGGGAUAUUGGACAAUGGGCGAAAGCCUGAUCCAGCGACGCCGCGUGGAGGACGAAGCCCUUCGGGGUGUAAACUCCUUUUGUCGGGGAAAAAGGGCUGAUGGUACCCGACGAAUAAGCCCCGGCUAACUACGUGCCAGCAGCCGCGGUAAUACGUAGGGGGCGAGCGUUACCCGGAAUCACUGGGCGUAAAGGGUGCGUAGGCGGCCGCGUGUGUCUGGCGUAAAAUUCCACGGCUCAACCGUGGGUAUGCGCUGGAAACUACGUGGCUUGGGUGCGGCAGAGGCAGACGGAACUGCUGGUGUAGGGGUGAAAUCCGUAGAUAUCAGCAGGAACGCCGGUGGAGAAGUCGGUCUGCUGGGCCGUAACCGACGCUGAGGCACGAAAGCUAGGGGAGCGAACCGGAUUAGAUACCCGGGUAGUCCUAGCCGUAAACGAUGCUCACUAGGUGUGGGGGCGGAAGCCUCCGUGCUGAAGCAAACGCGAUAAGUGAGCCGCUGGGGAGUACG
Molecule: ribosomal RNA, 805 nt
Filed under: uncultured bacterium
Lineage: Bacteria
Description: bacterial SSU rRNA
Rfam family: Bacterial small subunit ribosomal RNA
Source: RNAcentral